This 483-nucleotide ribosomal RNA is filed under the name uncultured bacterium. RNAcentral describes it as "partial 16S ribosomal RNA". It matches the Rfam family "Bacterial small subunit ribosomal RNA", at positions 30 to 506 of the family's 1533-position model. The record is from RNAcentral.
AUUGAACGCUGGCGGCAGGCCUAACACAUGCAAGUCGAGCGGAUGAAGGGAGCUUGCUCCUGGAUUCAGCGGCGGACGGGUGAGUAAUGCCUAGGAAUCUGCCUGGUAGUGGGGGAUAACGUCCGGAAACGGGCGCUAAUACCGCAUACGUCCUGAGGGAGAAAGUGGGGGAUCUUCGGACCUCACGCUAUCAGAUGAGCCUAGGUCGGAUUAGCUAGUUGGUGGGGUAAAGGCCUACCAAGGCGACGAUCCGUAACUGGUCUGAGAGGAUGAUCAGUCAAACUGGAACUGAGACACGGUCCAAACCCCUACGGGAGGCAGCAGGGGGGAAUUUUGGACAAGGGGCGAAAGCCUGAUCCAGCCAGGCCGCGGGGGUGAAGAAGGUUUGCGGUUUGUAAAGCAUUUUAAGUUGGGAGGAAGGGCAGUAAGUUAAUACCUUGCUGUUUGGACGUUACCAAAAGAAUAAGCCCCGGCUAACUUCGG